AUGGUGGGCGCAUGGGUCGGGUCUUCGGGCUUUCGAGGCUAUCCAAGUCAGCUGGACGACUGGAAACCCACCCAGCCUUUUGCAGUUUUGCUAUGCCUGGCUCCUCCUAUGUCGCUGCUGCGCCGAAACAGAUCCAGAGAGAGCCAUGUUGCCUUGCCUCUAACCUAUUGGGAGAGGCCGAACAUCUGGUACGGCGGCAAGGGUGGAAAUAAGACGGCACAUAAUUGGGAAACAAAAUUGAGACCAUUCGUUGAGCAGUGGAGAACAGCAAGCUUGGUUCACUGGCACGAGGAGGCGCUCUUCGACCGAGCUGCGCAUGAGGCUCACCUACGGUGGUACCGGCCACAGAUGAGAUUGCGCUGCAUACCAAGAGCUGACCCUGAGGACAUGGAGACGGCUCACACUUCGGCUUCGGAGACGUACUAG
This 426-nucleotide ribosomal RNA is filed under the name Triticum aestivum (bread wheat). RNAcentral describes it as "partial small subunit ribosomal RNA". The record is from RNAcentral. Lineage: Eukaryota; Viridiplantae; Streptophyta; Magnoliopsida; Poales; Poaceae.